Long non-coding RNA from Antechinus flavipes (yellow-footed antechinus), 777 nucleotides. RefSeq lists it as uncharacterized. Lineage: Eukaryota; Metazoa; Chordata; Mammalia; Dasyuromorphia; Dasyuridae. The record is from RefSeq and is a predicted model, not a curated record. The transcript has 3 exons.
GGCAGGUGAGCGCGCCUUUGUCCGGGAGGCGUGCUAGGGCCUGGGCGGCGCUCCUUCCGCCUUCUUGGGAGGGGAACCAGAACUACUUAAUGCGGCUGCAUGUAUGAGUCUCUGGAAGCCUCCUCCCGCCUUUCCCUUGCUGGAAACUGAACCACUCUAUAAUGAAGCUGCACUGCGGAGUAGUAGAUGUGCCAGGAGACUGCUCAGAGAAGUUCGUUUAGAAUUCAUUGACUCAAGUUAUCUCCAGGGACUCCUUUCGAAGGCUUGUGGUGCUCGUGGAUCCCUUUUUAAAAUAAUGUUUGCAAAUGCAUAAAAUACAUAGGAAUUCAAAGGAAACCUAUUAUUCUGAAAUACAGAAAAUGAGACUCCGCCUUCCAACAGGAAAAAAACAAAGGCCAGGAAUGUGGGGAGAAAAACAAGGCAUGAAACUAUUCAAAGGCAGUAGGCAGUGGAAAAAGGUAUGCUUUAAAAAAUAAAAUAAAAUAAAGCAAAACAUCCUAAUGUGCAAGAGAGUUAGAUAAUUCUGUAGCAAUCCCCCCCCCCCAAAAAAAAAUGAAACAAUGGCAAACAAUUAAUUCUGGAUGAUUUAAAAGGGGAAAAAAUCUUAAGAUAGAAAUUAUGAGGCAAAUUAGAUUCAGAAUGAGAAAUUUAAAAGAAGAAUUUGGGGCAGGUAGGUGGUGCAGUGGAUAGAGCACCAGCCCUGGUCAGGAGAACCUGAGUUCAAAUCUGAGCUCAGACACUUAAAACUUUCUAGUUGUUAACCCUGGGCAAGUCACU